This 371-nucleotide transfer-messenger RNA is filed under the name Candidatus Competibacteraceae. RNAcentral's name for it is "Contendobacter_A odensis_A Standard tmRNA". It matches the Rfam family "transfer-messenger RNA". From Rfam's summary of the family: Bacterial tmRNA, also known as 10Sa RNA or SsrA, is named for its dual tRNA and mRNA-like properties. Its role is to liberate the mRNA from a stalled ribosome. To accomplish this part of the tmRNA is used as a reading frame that ends in a translation stop signal. Lineage: Bacteria; Pseudomonadati; Pseudomonadota; Gammaproteobacteria. The record is from RNAcentral. RNAcentral also lists the same sequence under 1 other name.
GGGGGCGAUCUGGGUUUCGACGUGGAUUGCGAACCCCAAGGUGCAUGCCGAGGAUGCAGCUAACCUCGCUAAUCGUGCUGUAAAUUUAUAGUUGCCAACGACGACAGCUACGCUCUAGCGGCCUAAAGCCCGCUAGCCUCUGACCGAAACGUGCUUGUGAGGUUCGGAGUCUUUCGAGACAUUCAGGGGUCGACUUAACACAAGCUCGUGCUGAUCUUGUUCGGGAGUGAAGCAUUAAAACCUAACCGGAACCGCCGUUGAUCGCCCUGCCGGUCGGGGGAUAAAACGGUUAAAUUAAAGACCUGGCUAAGCAUGUAGUACCGAGGGCAGAGGAUUUGCGGACGGGGGUUCAAUUCCCCCCGCCUCCACCA